AAGAAUUACAUUGGUCAUAAUAAAUGCCCGAGGAAUGACCAUGACAAUCGAAAAGAGCCUGGAGCCGGAAGCAGUGCUCAACCCACUGCCGGGACCAUUAGUAUUAUCGUUCGGAGCAUAGCAUCUUGAGGAGACACAAAUAGUGGGCGAAAGCAAUAUGCCCGUCAACAUGCUCAUACCCCAAGGGAAUCCCGUGAUGAAGUCAAAGAUAU
Molecule: long non-coding RNA, 212 nt
Filed under: Olea europaea subsp. europaea
Lineage: Eukaryota; Viridiplantae; Streptophyta; Magnoliopsida; Lamiales; Oleaceae
Source: RNAcentral